This 226-nucleotide ribosomal RNA is filed under the name uncultured bacterium. RNAcentral's name for it is "partial 16S rRNA". It matches the Rfam family "Bacterial small subunit ribosomal RNA", at positions 505 to 730 of the family's 1533-position model. The record is from RNAcentral.
GUGCCAGCAGCCGCGGUAAAACGUAGGAGGCGAGCGUUAUCCGGAUUUACUGGGCGUAAAGCGCGUGCAGGCGGAUCGGUAAGUUGGAUGUGAAAGCUCCCGGCUUAACUGGGAGAGGUCGUUCAAAACUACCGGUCUUGAGUACAGUAGAGGGAAGUGGAAUUCCGGGUGUAGUGGUGAAAUGCGUGAAUAUCCGGAGGAACACCAUUGGCGAAGGAGGUUUUCU